CGCCUUGCCAGCCCGCUCAGAAACUCAAAGGAAUUGACGGGGCCCGCACAAGCGGAGGAGCAUGUGGUUUAAUUCGAUGAUACGCGAGGAACCUUACCUGGGCUCGAACGUAAGAUGACUGUAGGUGAAAGCUUACAUCUCUUCGGAGCAUUUUACGAGGUGCUGCAUGGUUGUCGUCAGCUCGUGCCGUGAGGUGUCGGGUUAAGUCCCAUAACGAGCGCAACCCCUACCUUUAGUUGCCAUCAGGUUAAGCUGGGGACUCUAAAGGAACUGCCUACGCAAGUAGUGGGGAAGGCGGGGAUGACGUCAAAUCAGCACGGCCCUUACGUCCAGGGCUACACACGUGCUACAAUGGCCGAUACAGAGGGCAGCUACCUGGUGACAGGAUGCAAAUCUCAAAAGCCGGUCUCAGUUCGGAUCGGAGUCUGCAACCCGACUCCGUGAAGCUGGAAUCGCUAGUAAUCGCGCAUCAGCCAUGGCGCGGUGAAUACGUUCCCGGGCCUU
RNAcentral lists this ribosomal RNA (504 nucleotides) under uncultured Sphingobacteriales bacterium. RNAcentral describes it as "bacterial SSU rRNA". It matches the Rfam family "Bacterial small subunit ribosomal RNA", at positions 903 to 1382 of the family's 1533-position model. Lineage: Bacteria; Pseudomonadati; Bacteroidota; Sphingobacteriia; Sphingobacteriales. The record is from RNAcentral.